AGGAUAAACGCUGGCGGCGUGCUUAAUACAUGCAAGUCGAGCGGCAGCAUGCACUUCGGUGUGAUGGCGAGCGGCGGACGGCUGAGUAACGCGUAGGAAUAUACCCCAAAGUGAGGAAUAACUGCCCGAAAGGGUAGCUAAUGCCGCAUGUGGUCUUCGGAUUAAAGCUUUAUGCGCUUUGGGAAUGGCCUGCGUACGAUUAGCUUGUUGGUGAGGUAAUGGCUCACCAAGGCGAUGAUCGUUAGCUGGUCUGAGAGGAUGAUCAGCCAGACUGGGACUGAGACACGGCCCAGACUCCUACGGGAGGCAGCAGUAGGGAAUUUUCCACAAUGGACGAAAGUCUGAUGGAGCAACGCCGCGUGCAGGAUGAAGGCCCUUGGGUCGUAAACUGCUUUUCUCUGUGAGGAAUAUGACAGUAGCAGAGGAAUAAGGAUCGGCUAACUCCGUGCCAGCAGCCGCGGUAAUCUA
RNAcentral lists this ribosomal RNA (468 nucleotides) under uncultured bacterium. RNAcentral's name for it is "SSU rRNA". It matches the Rfam family "Bacterial small subunit ribosomal RNA", at positions 26 to 527 of the family's 1533-position model. The record is from RNAcentral.